GCUAGGGUAGUAUAGUAGUUUGAGCCUUAGACUACGUCUCUGGAGACCAGGGUUCAAUUCCCCACUCAAGCA
Molecule: non-coding RNA, 72 nt
Organism: Phrynosoma platyrhinos (Desert horned lizard)
Lineage: Eukaryota; Metazoa; Chordata; Lepidosauria; Squamata; Phrynosomatidae
Source: the annotation of a GenBank genome assembly